GAUGAACGCUGGCGGCGUGCUUAACACAUGCAAGUCGAACGAUUAACCCACCUUCGGGUGGUCAUAGAGUGGCGAACGGGUGAGUAACACGUGACCAACCUGCCUCAUGCAUCGGGAUAACUGCUGGAAACGGCAGCUAAUACCGGAUACUCUUGCAACUUCGCAUGGAGAUGCAAGGAAAGCUUUCGCGGCAUGAGAUGGGGUCGCGGCCCAUUAGGUAGACGGUGAGGUAGUGGCUCACCGUGCCUGCGAUGGGUAGCCGGACUGAGAGGUCGAUCGGCCACAUUGGGACUGAGAUACGGCCCAG
RNAcentral lists this ribosomal RNA (307 nucleotides) under uncultured bacterium. RNAcentral's name for it is "bacterial SSU rRNA". It matches the Rfam family "Bacterial small subunit ribosomal RNA", at positions 28 to 334 of the family's 1533-position model. The record is from RNAcentral.